UCAUCACAUAGAUCAAUGACCAACUUCACGUUUUCAGAACUUGUAAUUAUAAUGACAAUUCUUAGGCAUUCGCAAGCUCAAAAUUCAACAACACUUAGUCACUCACCAUUACCAAAAACCACAAUUCAUACAAUUGCUUCAAGCAUCCAAUAUUUGCAAAUUAAAGAUAGAAAAAAUUUAUACUUACAUGCAUAUGCUUGACUCCAAAUACUCACCAAAUUAUUCUACUCUACUAAUAUCGAAUAUUAAGCUAUUGGGAUCAUUGGGGCUUUGUGGCUUUCAAUUGUUAGGCUCUUUGGUUCGAGGUAGGAAAUAUGGGUAUGUGUGGCUAUUCUUCUUGAAUUUAGGUGAUUACGCCAAAAUUUG
Molecule: long non-coding RNA, 366 nt
Filed under: Erythranthe guttata (spotted monkey flower)
Lineage: Eukaryota; Viridiplantae; Streptophyta; Magnoliopsida; Lamiales; Phrymaceae
Description: long non-coding RNA (EGUT_LNC001021)
Source: RNAcentral